GAUGAACGCUGGCGGCGUGCCUAAUACAUGCAAGUCGAGCGAACGGACGAGAAGCUUGCUUCUCUGAUGUUAGCGGCGGACGGGUGAGUAACACGUGGAUAACCUACCUAUAAGACUGGGAUAACUUCGGGAAACCGGAGCUAAUACCGGAUAAUAUUUUGAACCGCAUGGUUCAAAAGUGAAAGACGGUCUUGCUGUCACGUAUAGAUGGAUCCGCGCUGCAUUAGCUAGUUGGUAAGGUAACGGCUUACCAAGGCAACGAUGCAUAGCCGACCUGAGAGGGUGAUCGGCCACCCGGGAACUGAGACACGGUCCAGACUCCUACGGGAGGCAGCAGUAGGGAAUCUUCCGCAAUGGGCGAGAGCCUGACGGAGCAACGCCGCGUGAGUGAUGAAGGUCUUCGGAUCGUAAAACUCUGUUAUUAGGGAAGAACAUAUGUGUAAGUAACUGUGCACAUCUUGACGGUACCUAAUCAGAAAGCCACGGCUAACUACGUG
RNAcentral lists this ribosomal RNA (497 nucleotides) under uncultured bacterium. RNAcentral describes it as "partial 16S ribosomal RNA". It matches the Rfam family "Bacterial small subunit ribosomal RNA", at positions 28 to 507 of the family's 1533-position model. The record is from RNAcentral.